Molecule: ribosomal RNA, 611 nt
Filed under: Rhodotorula paludigena
Lineage: Eukaryota; Fungi; Basidiomycota; Microbotryomycetes; Sporidiobolales; Sporidiobolaceae
Description: partial large subunit ribosomal RNA
Rfam family: Eukaryotic large subunit ribosomal RNA
Source: RNAcentral
CUUAUCAAUAAGCGGAGGAAAAGAAACUAACAAGGAUUCCCCUAGUAGCGGCGAGCGAAGCGGGAAGAGCUCAAAUUUAUAAUCUGGCACUUUCAGUGUCCGAGUUGUAAUCUCUAGAAGUGUUUUCCGCGUUGGACCGCACACAAGUCUGUUGGAAUACAGCGGCACAGUGGUGACACCCCCGUACACGGUGCGGACGCCCAGCGCUUUGUGAUACACUUUCGAAGAGUCGAGUUGUUUGGGAAUGCAGCUCAAAUUGGGUGGUAAAUUCCAUCUAAAGCUAAAUAUUGGCGAGAGACCGAUAGCGAACAAGUACCGUGAGGGAAAGAUGAAAAGCACUUUGGAAAGAGAGUUAACAGUACGUGAAAUUGUUGGAAGGGAAACGCUUGAAGUCAGACUUGCUUGCCGGAGCUUGCUUCGGUUUGCAGGCCAGCAUCAGUUUUCCGGGGUGGAUAAUGGCGGUUAGAAGGUAGCAGCUUCAGCUGUGUUAUAGCUUUCCGCUGGAUACAUCCUGGGGGACUGAGGAACGCAGCGUGCUUUUAGCGGGGGUUUCGACCUCUUCACGCUUAGGAUGCUGGUGUAAUGGCUUUAAACGACCCGUCUUGAAACAC